AGAGCAUAUGGAGAAUGCCUAGGCGCUAGGAGCCGAAGAAGGACGUGGUAAGCUGCGAAAAGCUACGGGGAAGUGCAAGCAACUAAAGAGCCGUAGAUAUCCGAAUGAGGAAACUCAUACAGGUUAACAUCUGUAUAUUCCAUAAUGAAUCCAUAGUUAUGGGAGGGGAACCCGGAGAACUGAAACAUCUAAGUACCCGGAGGAAGAGAAAGAAACAUCGAUUUCGUCAGUAGCGGCGAGCGAAAGCGAAAGAGCCCAAACCUAAGUGGGAAACCACAUAGGGGUCGACACUCAGAAAGCAUUGAAGAACUUAGUCGAAUAUGCCUGGAAAGGCAAACCAAAGAAGAGUAAAAGUCCCGUAGACGAAAAGAGAAACAAGCAAGAGUGAUCAAGAGUACCACAGGACACGAGAAACCCGGUGGGAAGACGGGGGGACCACCCCCCAAGGCUAAAUACUACCAAGCGACCGAUAGAGAACAGUACCGUGAGGGAAAGGUGAAAAGAACCCCGGGAGGGGAGUGAAAAAGAACCUGAAACCAUAUGCUUACAAACUGUAGGAGCAAGCAAGCAAUUGCAAGUGACUGCGUACUUUUUGUAGAACGGGCCAACGAGUUGCGAUAUGAUGCAAGGUUAAAUACUUAAGGUAUGGAGCCGAAGCGAAAGCGAGUCUUAAGAGGGCAAGAGUACCAUAUUGCAGACCCGAAACCGGGCGACCUAUCCAUGUCCAGAUUGAAGUUUCCGUAACAGGGAAUGGAGGAUCGAACCCACGUACGUUGAAAAGUGCGGGGAUGAGGUGUGGAUAGCGGUGAAAUUCCAAUCGAGCCCGGAGAUAGCUGGUUCUCUCCGAAAUAGCUUUAGGGCUAGCGUUUUGCAAGAUAUAUAUGGAGGUAAAGCACUGACUGUCCAAUGGGUCUUUUAGAUUACUGAGGAUUAUCAAACUAAGAAUGCCAUAUAUAGCGCAAAGCAGUCAGACUAUGAGUGAUAAGGUCCAUAGUCGAGAGGGAAAGAGCCCAGACCAACAGCUAAGGUCCCAAAAUAUAUGUUAAGUGGGAAAGGAUGUGAGAUUGCAUAGACAACCAGGAUGUUGGCUUAGAAGCAGCCAUACAUUUAAAGAGUGCGUAAUAGCUCACUGGUCGAGUGAUCCUGCGCCGAAAAUUACCGGGGCUAAAACAUAAUACCGAAGCUUUGGAUUAUACUGUAGAGUAUAGUGGUAGGAGAGCAUCGUAUACAGUAAGAAGCAGAAUCGAAAGAAAAAGUGGACCGUAUACGAGAGAGAAUGUUGGCAUGAGUAGCGAGAGGAAGGUGAGAAUCCUUCCGGCCGAAAACCUAAGGUUUCCUGAGGAAGGUUCGUCCGCUCAGGGUAAGUCGGGACCUAAGCCAAGGCCGAAAGGCGUAGGUGAUGGACAACGGGUAAUAAAUCCCGUACCACCGUAGUUGAAUGAGCGAAGGGGGGACGCAGGAGGAUGACCGGAGCACGCCGUUGGUAGAGCGUGUCCAAGCAGAAAGCGAGUAAGACCAGGCAAAUCCGGUAAUACAAUCGUAAUCUGUGAUGGGGAGUGAAAAUAAAGUAGCGAAGCUGAAUCAUUCAAACUGCCAGGAAAAGCCUCUAGCAAGACGAAGGUGCCCGUACCGCAAACCGACACAGGUAGGUGAGGAGAGAAUCCUAAGGCCAGCGAGAGAACUGUUGUUAAGGAACUCGGCAAAAUAACCCCGUAACCUAGGGAGAAGGGGAGCCUGUGAGAGCAGGCCGCAGAGAAUAGGCCCAAGCGACUGUUUACCAAAAACAUAGGUUUCUGCAAAACUGCAAAGUGAAGUAUAGGAGCUGACGCCUGCCCGGUGCUGGAAGGUUAAGGGGAAGACUUAGAGCAAUCGAAGGUUCGAACUUAAGCCCCAGUAAACGGCGGCCGUAACUAUAACGGUCCUAAGGUAGCGAAAUUCCUUGUCGGGUAAGUUCCGACCCGCACGAAAGGCGUAACGAUUUGGGCACUGUCUCAACAACAGACUCGGUGAAAUUGUAGUGCCGGUGAAGAUGCCGGACACCUGCGACAGGACGGAAAGACCCCAUGGAGCUUUACUGCAGCUUAGCAUUGGAUUUAGGUAACAGAUGUACAGGAUAGGUGGGAGACUUAGAGUAUAGGGCGUCAGCCUUGUAGGAGUCAACGUUGGGAUACCACCCUUGUGUUGCUUGAAUUCUAACUAGAAUCAUUGAAUCAUGAUAUAGGACACUGCUUGGCAGGCAGUUUGACUGGGGCGGUCGCCUCCCAAAGAGU
This 2270-nucleotide ribosomal RNA is filed under the name human oral metagenome. RNAcentral's name for it is "bacterial LSU rRNA". It matches the Rfam family "Bacterial large subunit ribosomal RNA", at positions 14 to 2298 of the family's 2925-position model. The record is from RNAcentral.